GAUGAACGCUAGCUACAGGCUUAACACAUGCAAGUCGAGGGGCAGCAUUUCAGUUUGCUUGCAAACUGGAGAUGGCGACCGGCGCACGGGUGAGUAACACGUAUCCAACCUGCCGAUAACUCGGGGAUAGCCUUUCGAAAGAAAGAUUAAUACCCGAUGGCAUAAUUAGACCGCAUGGUCUUAUUAUUAAAGAAUUUCGGUUAUCGAUGGGGAUGCGUUCCAUUAGGCAGUUGGUGAGGUAACGGCUCACCAAACCUUCGAUGGAUAGGGGUUCUGAGAGGAAGGUCCCCCACAUUGGAACUGAGACACGGUCCAAACUCCUACGGGAGGCAGCAGUGAGGAAUAUUGGUCAAUGGGCGCAGGCCUGAACCAGCCAAGUAGCGUGAAGGAUGACUGCCCUAUGGGUUGUAAACUUCUUUUAUAUGGGAAUAAAGUUUUCCACGUGUGGAAUUUUGUAUGUACCAUAUGAAUAAGGAUCGGCUAACUCCGUGCCAGCAGCCGCGGUAAUACGGAGGAUCCGAGCGUUAUCCGGAUUUAUUGGGUUUAAAGGGAGCGUAGGUGGACAGUUAAGUCAGUUGUGAAAGUUUGCGGCUCAACCGUAAAAUUGCAGUUGAUACUGGCUGUCUUGAGUACAGUAGAGGUGGGCGGAAUUCGUGGUGUAGCGGUGAAAUGCUUAGAUAUCACGAAGAACUCCGAUUGCGAAGGCAGCUCACUGGACUGCAACUGACACUGAUGCUCGAAAGUGUGGGUAUCAAACAGGAUUAGAUACCCUGGUAGUCCACACAGUAAACGAUGAAUACUCGCUGUUUGCGAUAUACAGUAAGCGGCCAAGCGAAAGCAUUAAGUAUUCCACCUGGGGAGUACGCCGGCAACGGUGAAACUCAAAGGAAUUGACGGGGGCCCGCACAAGCGGAGGAACAUGUGGUUUAAUUCGAUGAUACGCGAGGAACCUUACCCGGGCUUAAAUUGCAUUUGAAUAUAUUGGAAACAGUAUAGCCGUAAGGCAAAUGUGAAGGUGCUGCAUGGUUGUCGUCAGCUCGUGCCGUGAGGUGUCGGCUUAAGUGCCAUAACGAGCGCAACCCUUAUCUUUAGUUACUAACAGGUCAUGCUGAGGACUCUAGAGAGAUUGCCGUCGUAAGAUGUGAGGAAGGUGGGGAUGACGUCAAAUCAGCACGGCCCUUACGUCCGGGGCUACACACGUGUUACAAUGGGGGGUACAGAAGGCAGCUACCUGGUGACAGGAUGCUAAUCCCAAAAGCCUCUCUCAGUUCGGAUCGAAGUCUGCAACCCGACUUCGUGAAGCUGGAUUCGCUAGUAAUCGCGCAUCAGCCAUGGCGCGGUGAAUACGUUCCCGGGCCU
This 1359-nucleotide ribosomal RNA is filed under the name uncultured bacterium. RNAcentral describes it as "bacterial SSU rRNA". It matches the Rfam family "Bacterial small subunit ribosomal RNA", at positions 28 to 1381 of the family's 1533-position model. The record is from RNAcentral.